RNAcentral lists this unclassified non-coding RNA (334 nucleotides) under soil metagenome. RNAcentral describes it as "partial contains 5.8S ribosomal RNA, internal transcribed spacer 2, and large subunit ribosomal RNA". The stretch from base 4 to 119 matches the Rfam family "5.8S ribosomal RNA", at positions 39 to 154 of the family's 154-position model. The record is from RNAcentral.
GAUAAGAACGCAGCGAAAUGCGAUAAGUAAUGUGAAUUGCAGAAUUCAGUGAAUCAUCGAAUCUUUGAACGCACAUUGCGCCCGCCAGUAUUCUGGCGGGCAUGCCUGUUCGAGCGUCAUUUCAACCAUCAAGCCCCCGGCUUGUGUUGGGGACCUGCGGCUGCCGCAGGCCCUGAAAACCAGUGGCGGGCUCGCUAGUCACUCCGAGCGUAGUAAUACAUCUCGCUCAGGGCGUGCUGCGGGUUCCGGCCGUUAAAAAGCCUUAUUUACCCAAGGUUGACCUCGGAUCAGGUAGGAAGACCCGCUGAACUUAAGCAUAUCAAUAAGCGGAGGA